AGUGAACGCUGGCGGCAGGCCUAACACAUGCAAGUCGAGCGGCAGCGGGUUCCCGCGAGGGGAUGCCGGCGAGCGGCGGACGGGUGAGGAACACAUCGGAAUCUGCCUGGUUGUGGGGGAUAACGUAGGGAAACUUACGCUAAUACCGCAUGCGACCCUGAGUCGACGGACUGGGGGUGAAAGUGAGGGACCUUCGGGCCUCACGCGACCAGAUGAGCCGAUGUCGGAUAGCUAGUUGGCGGGGUAACGGCCCGCCAAGGCGACGAUCCGUAGCUGGUCUGAGAGGAUGAUCAGCCACACUGGGACUGAGACACGGCCCAGACUCCUACGGGAGGCAGCAGUGGGGAAUCUUGGACAAUGGGCGCAAGCCUGAUCCAGCC
This 380-nucleotide ribosomal RNA is filed under the name uncultured bacterium. RNAcentral describes it as "bacterial SSU rRNA". It matches the Rfam family "Bacterial small subunit ribosomal RNA", at positions 30 to 393 of the family's 1533-position model. The record is from RNAcentral.